CGGCUCCGGUACUCUAGAGAUGCGCGUCGGACGGUGGUUGACUUCGGUCUUCUAUAGUGGCAAACGGGUGCGUAACGCGUAAAUAACCUGCCCCAAACUGGGGGAUAGCCCGGCGAAAGCUGGGGUAAGCCCGCAUGGUCUUUUUCGGUGGCAUCACCGGCUAAGUAAAAGUCUUCGGACUGGUUUGGGAGGGAUUUGCGUCUGAUUAGCUAGUUGGGGGGGUAGUGGCCCACCAAGGCAGUGAUCAGUCGGGGCUCUGAGAGGAGGGUCCCCCACAUGGGCACUGAGACACGGGCCCAACUCCUACGGGAGGCAGCAGUAGGGAAUAUUGGGCAAUGGACUAGCGUCUGACCCAGCCAUGCCGCGUGGAGGAAGACGGCCCUCUGGGUUGUAAACUCCUUUUAUCAGGGAAGAAGAGCAGGCAUGCGUGCCUGUGUGACGGUACCUGAGGAAUCAGCACCGGCUAACUCCGUGCCAGCAGCCGCGGUAAUACGGAGGGUGCAAGCGUUGUCCGGAUUUAUUGGGUUUAAAGGGUGCGUAGGUGGCCCGGUAAGUCUGCCUUGAAAGCUGGUCGCUCAACGAUCAGGGGUGGGUGGAUACUGCUGGGCUUGGAUUGGGUGGCGGUUUCUGGAACGGGUCGUGUAGCGGUG
Molecule: ribosomal RNA, 650 nt
Filed under: bacterium
Lineage: Bacteria
Description: bacterial SSU rRNA
Rfam family: Bacterial small subunit ribosomal RNA
Source: RNAcentral